Molecule: ribosomal RNA, 860 nt
Filed under: Escherichia coli
Lineage: Bacteria; Pseudomonadati; Pseudomonadota; Gammaproteobacteria; Enterobacterales; Enterobacteriaceae
Description: partial 23S ribosomal RNA
Rfam family: Bacterial large subunit ribosomal RNA
Source: RNAcentral
CGCGGCAAGACGGAAAGACCCCGUGAACCUUUACUAUAGCUUGACACUGAACAUUGAGCCUUGAUGUGUAGGAUAGGUGGGAGGCUUUGAAGUGUGGACGCCAGUCUGCAUGGAGCCGACCUUGAAAUACCACCCUUUAAUGUUUGAUGUUCUAACGUGGGCCCCUUACCGGGGUUGCGGACAGUGUCUGGUGGGUAGUUUGACUGGGGCGGUCUCCUCCUAAAGAGUAACGGAGGAGCACGAAGGUUGGCUAAUCCUGGUCGGACAUCAGGAGGUUAGUGCAAUGGCAUAAGCCAGCUUGACUGCGAGCGUGACGGCGCGAGCAGGUGCGAAAGCAGGUCAUAGUGAUCCGGUGGUUCUGAAUGGAAGGGCCAUCGCUCAACGGAUAAAAGGUACUCCGGGGAUAACAGGCUGAUACCGCCCAAGAGUUCAUAUCGACGGCGGUGUUUGGCACCUCGAUGUCGGCUCAUCACAUCCUGGGGCUGAAGUAGGUCCCAAGGGUAUGGCUGUUCGCCAUUUAAAGUGGUACGCGAGCUGGGUUUAGAACGUCGUGAGACAGUUCGGUCCCUAUCUGCCGUGGGCGCUGGAGAACUGAGGGGGGCUGCUCCUAGUACGAGAGGACCGGAGUGGACGCAUCACUGGUGUUCGGGUUGUCAUGCCAAUGGCACUGCCCGGUAGCUAAAUGCGGAAGAGAUAAGUGCUGAAAGCAUCUAAGCACGAAACUUGCCCCGAGAUGAGUUCUCCCUGACUCCUUGAGAGUCCUGAAGGAACGUUGAAGACGACGACGUUGAUAGGCCGGGUGUGUAAGCGCAGCGAUGCGUUGAGCUAACCGGUACUAAUGAACCGUGAGGCUUAACCUU